This 490-nucleotide long non-coding RNA is filed under the name Homo sapiens (human). Its description in RNAcentral is "non-protein coding lnc-TP53TG3-53:1". Lineage: Eukaryota; Metazoa; Chordata; Mammalia; Primates; Hominidae. The record is from RNAcentral.
UUCAAUCCCUGUGGGACCAACGCAGCUCCCCAGGUCGAACCGGCCUUCACAAACCUAAAGUGGAACCGCCAGGAAAACUACUGACAACCGGCCACACCACCCAGGCAGAGAACCAGAAAGAGGCUCACCAAACACAGGCCGACAUGCAAGAAACCACCCUCCAGCACACAGGGCACAUUCGUCCCAAACACACAUGCACACGGGCACACACAGAGAAAGAGAGACCGAGACAGAGAGACAAGGAGAGAAAGGGAGACACACAAACACACACAGACAUAAAGCAGUGGCACGGAAACAGUCACCCCCAGGCAGCCCCUGAGGCUGCUAGGUUCUGCUCUCCGUGAGGACGUCUCUCAGGUAAGAGAGUAGCCCACGGGUCCACAGUCGGGCCUGUCCUUGAGAUCACAGGGGGCACGACUUGUGAGGAGACUCACUGGACACCGUCCGGGAAGGCCUGAAGCUGGGAUGGUGCGCUGCUUCCCCAUGACUC